CGCGUAGGGGGCGAGCGUUGUCCGGAUUUAUUGGGCGUAAAGAGCUCGUAGGCGGCUCAGUAAGUCGGGUGUGAAAACUCCAGGCUCAACCUGGAGACGCCACCUGAUACUGCUGUGGCUAGAGUCCGGUAGGGGAGCAUGGAAUUCCUGGUGUAGCGGUGAAAUGCGCAGAUAUCAGGAGGAACACCAGUGGCGAAGGCGGUGCUCUGGGCCGGAACUGACGCUCAGGCACGAAAGCGUGGGGAGCAAAAGGG
Molecule: ribosomal RNA, 254 nt
Filed under: uncultured bacterium
Lineage: Bacteria
Description: partial 16S ribosomal RNA
Rfam family: Bacterial small subunit ribosomal RNA
Source: RNAcentral